This 887-nucleotide long non-coding RNA is filed under the name Homo sapiens (human). Its description in RNAcentral is "HSALNT0391841". The record is from RNAcentral. Lineage: Eukaryota; Metazoa; Chordata; Mammalia; Primates; Hominidae.
AUUUGCAUAGCACAACCUCUCCCUCCACCCCCUCCUGUCUCCCACGUGGAUCUUCAUGUAAUUAAUUAAUAUCGCGUUCAUCAGAGCUUAAUUCAUGUUCUUGUAAUAUACAAGGAUUAAAAAAAAAUCCUACCAAGAGAGCAGUAAUAGGCUCCGGCUUUUCUGGUCUGGGAGCAAAUAUAAUGAGCCUCCAUGAAAAUAUUGAAUCGCUUCCCGCAGUCUCCACACCUCAGAGCACUGGCAUGUUUACUGUGUCUCCGGUAUGUCAUUAUCAGCAGUGUGAAAAUGGACUCACUCCCACCCUGUCUGGAUCUGGACAAGAGCCCACCACCCCGUUGGCAGUAGUCAGGCAGCUCUGCUUCUAAGAACCUGCAGCUUUUGGAAGAAAGGCACCCUGUGGUUUCAGAAGCCCAAGAGUCCCUGCAGCUCAGCACCCCCAGCCUGGUGCUUGGCAGAUGACUGCCUCCUCACUUAGCAGAGGGAGCAGAAAACUGUGUAUUCUUCAGAACAUCAUGAUAACCUGGCACUCAUGGGUCUAUGGAGAGAAUUCAGGGGGUCUGGGAGCUUGGAUGGAAUAAAUUUGCAUCUUUAUUUUCAGGAAAGUUUUACUGAAGUUUAGCAUUUUCUUUCAUUAUAAAUGGAAUCAGUAUAACCCAAUAGUAUGAGCAGUUACUUCUCCGCAACAUCAAAGUGGCUGCAGAUAUCUCAAAAUAGUAUUUACAUUUAUCAUAACUUAGAAAUUUGGGUGGUAAUUAAACCAGCAACUAUUCUUUGUUUAAUGCAUUAAGAAAGAAGUAUGUAUACUAUCAUAUCUCAAUUAAAAAUAUUUUAAGAACUGGAUUUUAACUUUAUUGGUUUCCUUUGUAACUCUCUGUAUUUCAUUUUAG